This 651-nucleotide ribosomal RNA is filed under the name Triticum aestivum (bread wheat). RNAcentral describes it as "partial small subunit ribosomal RNA". The record is from RNAcentral. Lineage: Eukaryota; Viridiplantae; Streptophyta; Magnoliopsida; Poales; Poaceae.
UUGGAGCAGUUGCUGCAUCACUCAGCACAUAAUAUGGAUUUCUGUUUUUUGGUUCCAGGUAUAUGUGUUGCACUUGCCCUCUGUAUCGCUGUGCCAAGAGCUAGCAAGAACCAUUUCUUUAAUUACGCAUUUUUGCGAUACACUGUAUUUAUCAUCAUACUGAACUGGUUUCAAUCCACACAGGGUGGGGGGCAGCCUGCUGUACAAUACGUUGCUUGUGGCGUGAUUAGUUUUGUUGUUGUUCACUGUUUGUGGAAUGUAGAAGUAAAACAGCCGAUGAGUGAAGUGUGGGAUUGGAACAUGUAUGGAACCAAACUGAAGUUUCAUGGAUGGUUUAUUAACACUGCCAAUGAGGAUGGUGACGGAGGUGAGGAUGGUGACGGAGGUGAGGAUGAUGCUUCAUUUGCCUCGGAGCAUUCCGAUGAUGAAGAUUUGACUGGGUUGUCAAUUUUACGUGCGGUGCAAGUGUUGGCCAUUCGUGCAAACUUCCGUAUCAGCCGUAUGGACGCCCAUGACUGGUACCAAAGUUUUGUCAUCUAUAUGGCGCUCGAGGGGGAAGUACAAGAGGAAGGAAUGGAUUUGGUACUCAUUGGACCAUGUGGGAUACUACAUGCUUACGGUGCCUUUUGCUUGGAGGUUUUCACAGAAGAC